Molecule: transfer RNA, 74 nt
Filed under: Pteropus alecto (black flying fox)
Lineage: Eukaryota; Metazoa; Chordata; Mammalia; Chiroptera; Pteropodidae
Rfam family: tRNA
About the family: Transfer RNA (tRNA) molecules are approximately 80 nucleotides in length. Their secondary structure includes four short double-helical elements and three loops (D, anti-codon, and T loops). Further hydrogen bonds mediate the characteristic L-shaped molecular structure. tRNAs have two regions of fundamental functional importance: the anti-codon, which is responsible for specific mRNA codon recognition, and the 3' end, to which the tRNAs corresponding amino acid is attached (by aminoacyl-tRNA synthetases). tRNAs cope with the degeneracy of the genetic code in two manners: having more than one tRNA (with a specific anti-codon) for a particular amino acid; and 'wobble' base-pairing, i.e. permitting non-standard base-pairing at the 3rd anti-codon position.
Source: Rfam by way of RNAcentral
GGCUCCAUAGUGUAGUGGUUAGCAUGUCUGCUUUACACACAGAAGGUACUGGGUUCGCGCACCAAGUGGAGCCA